Molecule: small nuclear RNA, 107 nt
Filed under: Cavia aperea (Brazilian guinea pig)
Lineage: Eukaryota; Metazoa; Chordata; Mammalia; Rodentia; Caviidae
Source: RNAcentral
GUGCUCGCUUCAUCAGCACAUAUAUUAAUAUUGGAAUGAUACAGAGAAGAUUAGAAUGGCCCCUGCACAAGGAUGACAAACAAAUUCAUGAAGCGUUCCAUANNNNN